Amphimedon queenslandica is the source of this 378-nucleotide long non-coding RNA. RefSeq lists it as uncharacterized. NCBI's taxonomy places the organism in Eukaryota, Metazoa, Porifera, Demospongiae, Haplosclerida, Niphatidae. The transcript is spliced from 2 exons. The record is from RefSeq and is a predicted model, not a curated record.
UGACUGUACAUCAACUGUAGCUGUAUCAACCACAAGAGUAGACUGAGACUCAUGAUCAUCAACUGAUUCAGCAAGAGACUGACCUAAAGUUCACUUUGUAAACUGUUGUUCCUUUUUAGCAGGCUUGUUCACAAAGGACAUAGUGAAGCUAGUCCAGGCUUUUAGACAUUGCAACUGACAAGAAAAGAACACUGAAAUAGCACUAAAUAAUGAAAUGAUUAUGCUUUCUAGUGUUGCUGUGGUGGCCCACUGUGAUUGGCACCAAAGUCUUACCACCUCCUCCUUUAUUUAGUCUCUCUUCAUCACCUUGUUAUCAGCCUGCCAUUUAUGCAUUCAUAAUUAUAAGAUUUUCAUAAAAAAUUGAAAUUAUAAUUGCAA